AAGUCGUAACAAGGUUUCCGUAGGUGAACCUGCGGAAGGAUCAUCAACAAAAGGGAAAAGUGCGUGGCGGGCGCAAGCCCGUUUCACGUUCAUUCCCGAAAAUCCUGUAUUCACCCCAAGUUCCUUAAAAAUUUUAAUAAAAAACUCUGCAAAAGACCACCUACGAUCAGGUGGCAUCUAAUGCAAAAGCGAAAACUUUCAACAACGGAUCUCUUGGCUCUC
Molecule: unclassified non-coding RNA, 222 nt
Filed under: fungal sp.
Lineage: Eukaryota; Fungi
Description: partial internal transcribed spacer region
Rfam family: Eukaryotic small subunit ribosomal RNA (bases 1-46)
Source: RNAcentral